GACGAACGCUGGCGGCGUGCUUAACACAUGCAAGUCGAACGGAAAGGCCCUGCUUUUGUGGGGUGCUCGAGUGGCGAACGGGUGAGUAACACGUGAGUAACCUGCCCUUGACUUUGGGAUAACUUCAGGAAACUGGGGCUAAUACCGGAUAGGAGCUCCUGCUGCAUGGUGGGGGUUGGAAAGUUUCGGCGGUUGGGGAUGGACUCGCGGCUUAUCAGCUUGUUGGUGUGGUAGUGGCUUACCAAGGCUUUGACGGGUAGCCGGCCUGAGAGGGUGACCGGCCACAUUGGGACUGAGGUAGGGCCCAGACUCCUACGGGAGGCAGCAGUGGGGAAUAUUGCACAAUGGGGGGAAGCCUGAUGCAGAGACGCCGCGUGCGGGAUAACGGCCUUCGGGUUGUAAACCGAUUUCGAAUGUGACGAGGCGUGAGUGACGGUAAUGGGUAAAGAAGCACCGGCUAACUACGUG
RNAcentral lists this ribosomal RNA (468 nucleotides) under uncultured bacterium. RNAcentral's name for it is "partial 16S ribosomal RNA". It matches the Rfam family "Bacterial small subunit ribosomal RNA", at positions 28 to 507 of the family's 1533-position model. The record is from RNAcentral.